This 376-nucleotide ribosomal RNA is filed under the name uncultured bacterium. Its description in RNAcentral is "bacterial SSU rRNA". It matches the Rfam family "Bacterial small subunit ribosomal RNA", at positions 790 to 1167 of the family's 1533-position model. The record is from RNAcentral.
GUAGUCCAUGCCGUAAACGAUGAUAACUAGGUGUUGGGGGGAUAUAACCUUCAGUACCGUAGCACACGCGCUAAGUUAUCCGCCUGGGGAGUACGGCCGCAAGGCUAAAACUUAAAGGAAUUGACGGGGGCCCGCACAAGAGGUGGAGUAUGUGGUUUAAUUCGAAGCAACGCGAAGAACCUUACCUGGGUUUGACAUCCCGUGAAAAGUACAGAGAUGUAUAAUAGUAGCGAUACACACGGAGACAGGUGCUGCAUGGCUGUCGUCAGCUCGUGUCGUGAGAUGUUGGGUUAAGUCCCGCAACGAGCGCAACCCUUACCCUUAUUUAGCAUCAUUAAGUUGGCAACUAUAGGGGGACCGCCGGUGAUAAACCGGA